Long non-coding RNA from Chroicocephalus ridibundus (black-headed gull), 1855 nucleotides. RefSeq lists it as uncharacterized. The transcript is spliced from 2 exons. The record is from RefSeq and is a predicted model, not a curated record. Lineage: Eukaryota; Metazoa; Chordata; Aves; Charadriiformes; Laridae.
GCGGGGCCGAGCCGGAGGGAAGGCUGGCUCCUGGUGUGCGGCGUUCUCUGGUGGACAGAGCGGCCCUUGGCGGCGGUGUGCGGACGGGCUGCUCCCCACGCACAGAUCCGGGGGCUCCGUGGGUUCCUCUGCUCUUCAGCCCAAGAAGAUCCCGAGUGUGCGCUUUGAGUCACCAGGGACUGCCCUCUGAGCCGUCUCCAGGAGCGGUUCCCUCUGCCCAGCGCUGCGGAAGGUGCCAUGGCCCAAAUCAGCAGAAGACAUGCGAGGAGGCGGCAGUUUAGGGCCUCAGCGGGAGGAAACCCCUGAAGAUCGCUUUGAACCUCUUCUGAAACUCUGAAAGCUGCUGAUUCCGAAGCCUUUUGCCUCUCCGCCUGCUUGGGGCUGCUGCAAACCUUCAGCCUGCCAGGCUGAUCCUUCCGUCGGCAGAAAUGCCUCCGCUUUUGACUAAUCCGCUUGCUGCUUGCUGCAUGCUCUGCCCUAGUUAUAGUGGAUGGUGGGGAGCUGGGAUUUUCUCUCCGGCGUUGUGGGACUUGGCGUGCACUACUUCUGCAGUCUGGGAGGGAGGGAUUGCUGUGCUGCUUGCGUGGAGGGCUAGCAGCCAGGAGCGGUUGGCUCUGUUGGCAUCUGCUGUGACUAGGUAAAUCCGACCUGUUUUCUGAGCCUCAGUUUCUCCUUCUGAAACACUGACUGGAUAAUCCCUACCUCCUCAGGCUUCUCGUAAGGUUGAGUUUAUAAGUGUUUGUGAAAUGGUUUGAAGUUGUUGUUUUAAAUAGAUAAAAGGCAGGCAGAGAACACAAACUGUGACGUAAAACUACGGUGGUCCCAGGCAGGGGCUGCAGCACCCAUUUCUGUUCGGUGGCAGCCCCCAGCGCUGUUCACUGGGAGCUGCCGCCCACAGCCUGGAGCCGCUGGUGACUUUAACUGCUGUUUAUCUAACGCUUAUCUCGUGCCACAGGGGCUGCUGGUAACAGCACGGUGCCCUGUUAGCCUUCCUCUUAUUGUGCGGCUGCUGGAGAAAAUACUCUGAGCCCCCGUUGCCUGCACUGUGGGUGUGUGCAGUGCCGUCGGGUGGCAGCGGCCGUCGGUCGGGGGACAGGACUCCCCCGGAGCCGGGCGAAGGUGAGCUCAGCCCGGGAAUCAGGGUCUCUGGGAGAAGCUGCCAGGGGAAAUUUCUCCUUUUCAAGGAGAGAGACAAGAUAUUUUUUUUAAAAAGGCAGUUUUUUUGUGAUACAGCAAUAAAGUCUGAUAGCAAUUAUGAUCUCCACAGAAAAAGCCUGUUCCAACAAGGCGCUGGAGGAGAAAGCGCAGCGCUCCUCUUCCCUGCGCAGGGCACCCUGACAUCCCUGAGCUCUGCUGGGCGGUGGGGGCUAAUCAGGUGUGCUGCCGUUCCUCGGGAAUGACCGAGUCCUUCCCCUGAUGCUGACGGAUGGUCAGGACACAACAGCAUCCUCUGGGGACUGGCAGAGCAAAACAGCCAUUGUGGCAACGGGAGUGCAGAACUACUUCUCUGGCAGGGCUCGAUCUGACCGAGAGGGCUGUCUUCUGCCCAGAUGCUUUUAACCCUCCCUCAGCGUGCCCGGCCUGCCCCGGGUGGGCAGAGGGAGGACUGGCGUGGGGCAGGAGGUGCAGCCGGCACCGCUCACCCAGCAGCGGCCAGCGUCAGCCCUUCUUGGUCAUAGCAGAGCCUGGGGAUGUGAGCUGGUCACGUUCUGCAUGUUAACGGCUGCAUGUCAACCCAACUCAACUGUUCCUGCUCUUGCAAUUGCGUAAAAAUAGCUGAACGAAAUGAAUUACAGAUGUGAUUAGCAUGCGCAUGUGAAAAAUCCUCCAUUAAACCUUCAAACUGGAGAUCGGA